Molecule: transfer RNA, 72 nt
Filed under: Phytophthora infestans (potato late blight agent)
Lineage: Eukaryota; Oomycota; Peronosporomycetes; Peronosporales; Peronosporaceae
Also listed under: 1 other name
Rfam family: tRNA
About the family: Transfer RNA (tRNA) molecules are approximately 80 nucleotides in length.
Source: Rfam by way of RNAcentral
CCGCUUUUAGCUCAGUGGUCGAGCGUUGGCUUUGGAAGCCACAGGUCGGGGGUUCGAACCCGCCAGGGCACA